CAGAUUUUUAGUUUUCUAGAUACACCUGAAUUGAUGAAGAAUUUUGGUAGUAUUACAUUUAUGAUCUUUCCAAAGCAUUCAACUUCGUUUUCAUAGAAAUGAUCUUCUUUUUACAUGCAUAUUUCCAUUAAUAUAUACAAUGAUUGAUUCAAAUAUGUUGUCAAUAGCACCAAAACCAUAUGCAUCGAAGUCAUAUUCCAUGAGCUCAUGUCUGAAACUUUUCAUUGACUAAAUAAAUACAUUUUUCUUAAAUGCUUACUAGUGCUGGGCACUGGGCGCUAUUUAUGUUUCUAUUACAAUAUGUGCUUCACAUUUUACAUGUGAUAUUUGCUAUCAAAAUUAAUUCAGGACUGGUGUUUUUCUCACAGCUGUCAGGACCUAGGGCAUGGAGAACCCCAAGACUCUCCCACUUUGUGGUUUAUGGACUUAACGAUCUGACAAAGCGUUGCAAUGGAGCAGAUAAAACAAUGUCAGAUAUGGACAUAUGCUCCAUUGAAGGGAGAAUAAAUUCAUCACUCGGAAACGUCUGGAACAGAAAUGCAUAGACAUUCCAGUGCUCACGAGGUGCUGUGUCCACACGUUUGCACUAACUCCGCACGAAUCAUCACCCACUUCUGAAUCGCUUCAUCUCCCAAGCAGACAGAGUGUGCUGCCUUCUCACACUAAUCAUACACAUUUUAAAUAUGUGAGGACGUGAUACAAUCCAGUGAUUGGCCUUUUCAGAGAAUAAGAAGAAAUUGAUCAUUCUCUUUUUUUGGAAACCUAUUCAACUGAAAAGAGUUUAGUUGAAAGGAAAGGAUUUAACUGACAUGGAUUUUUUUUUUUUUUUUAAAUAAAUGCUUGUUUCUUUAUCUUUGUGUUUAGGUG
Molecule: long non-coding RNA, 867 nt
Filed under: Felis catus (domestic cat)
Lineage: Eukaryota; Metazoa; Chordata; Mammalia; Carnivora; Felidae
Description: lncRNA (ENSFCAG00000043513.2)
Source: RNAcentral